GAUGCAUGGGAAGACACGGAGACAGCUGAUUUUACCCACGUGGCCGGCAGGGCUCCAGAGUGGAGUCGGGCUUUGGAGAUGCCCAGAGCGACCAUGGCUGCCACAUUGUAAAUCACCUUGUGAGGGCAAAAUGCAAAGAGGUGACCCUGCACAAGGACGGGCCCCUGGGGGAGACAGUCCUGGAGUGCUACAACUGCGGCUGUCGCAACGUCUUCCUCCUCGGCUUCAUCCCGGCCAAAGCUGACUCAGUGGUGGUGCUGCUGUGCAGGCAGCCCUGUGCCAGCCAGAGCAGCCUCAAGGACAUCAACUGGGACAGCUCGCAGUGGCAGCCGCUGAUCCAGGACCGCUGCUUCCUGUCCUGGCUGGUCAAGAUCCCCUCCGAGCAGGAGCAGCUGCGGGCACGCCAGAUCACGGCACAGCAGAUCAACAAGCUGGAGGAGCUGUGGAAGGAAAACCCUUCUGCCACGCUGGAGGACCUGGAGAAGCCGGGGGUGGACGAGGAGCCACAGCAUGUCCUCCUGCGGUACGAGGACGCCUACCAGUACCAGAAC
RNAcentral lists this small RNA (551 nucleotides) under Pongo abelii (Sumatran orangutan). Its description in RNAcentral is "processed transcript". The record is from RNAcentral. Lineage: Eukaryota; Metazoa; Chordata; Mammalia; Primates; Hominidae.